GACUGCUUCAAUAGCCUAGUGCUUAGAGCAUCCACCUCAGAUGCGGAAGGUCUUGGGUUUGAUCCCCGAUUGAGUCA
Potamilus streckersoni is the source of this 77-nucleotide non-coding RNA. NCBI's taxonomy places the organism in Eukaryota, Metazoa, Mollusca, Bivalvia, Unionida, Unionidae. The record is from the annotation of a GenBank genome assembly.